UAUGUAUCAAGAAACCUCUGGCAACACAGAAGGCUUGUCUCCACUCCACACAGCAUCAGCUGGGCUGGCUUGACUGGAGGAUCUGCUUCUAAGAUGGCCCACUCAUAUGGCUGGCAAGUUGGGGAUGACUGCAGGCUGGAGCUCAACCAAGGCUGUGGGCUGGGGCCUCAGUUCCUCCCUGUGGAUCUCUCUAUAGGCUGGUCAAGAGUGAGCAUCUCAAGAGAAAGCAUUUCCCCUAGUUAGGCAGAGGCCUCAUCACCUUUUAUGAUCUAGCCUCAGAAAUCACAUGGAAUCACUUCCACUGUAGUGACGAGCCUGCCCAGAUUCAAGAGGAAAGAACAGAGACACAUCUCUCUACGUGAGGAAUGUCAUGACCAUAUUGUAAGAAGAGCAUGUGGGAAGGGAGAUGUGGCCAUCCUGGAAAAUACAAUCUACCACAUAUUAGAUUGAACAUGGGGGCAAGUGUCAGUCCUUUACAAUCUGGGGGCAUCAUGUUAAUCUAAAUAGCAAUCUACUUAGUCCAGAGCAGUAGUUCUCAAAGGCUGGACCACAGGCCAGUUCUGAUUCAUGACAAAAGUUCCAUCAUAUAUGACAAAAUAAGAAAAAUAAAUACAACAUAAAGGUCUAUAAUAAAACUUAAUUUAUUUAACUUAAAGGGUAGAGCCCUACACUGAGAUCUCUUCCCUUUUCUGGUGUUAAAAUGUCUUUUGUUAAAUGAUAGUGAUAGUAGAUAGUAGUUGUUUUAUUAAUGAUGUCCUAUCAAUCUCCUCCCCUUUUUUUACAUUUUUUCUGUUCAAUUAAAUACAGAAGUCUAAAGAACUACUGCCUAAAAGUUAUCAUAACAUUGAAUUUAGCCUUUGAUUGACUACUUCCCAAAUAAUGUGGAGGCUUCAUUGAUUUAUUAGUAUGCACUUUGAAUAGUAAUUACUUUGUGGAUGUUCAGAAAAAGCCAUGCAGCUACCUAUGUAACAGCUCAAACUCAAAGCCUACGGGCAUUUAAAGUUGCCUAUGAAUAGAUCUAUAAUUCAAUGUAACAAUAUGUAACAAGAGAUACUAUAACUCUCAAAAUGGACUAAAAUUGUAAAUCUAUAGAUAUAAAUAAAUGUUCAGAUUCUCACAUCAAAGGAAUCUUUGACAUGAGAUCCAGGAAUCUGUUGUAAUCACUUGGUUCACAUGCCAGAAAGUAAAAUGACAUUCAAUGUGAAGGCUUAGAAAAUAGAAGGUCAGAGGAGAAAUUAGGCGUAGAGAUGUUGGAUGUAUGUGUGGCUUAUCUGCUAGAGGAGUAGGAGUUAAAAUGGGGCAAGAUAUGGAGAUAAGUGUUGGGAGUCAUUUUUAUAAAGGUGCACAAGCUCUAUAAAUUAAUGAAGAGGUAAUGAGUUCUAUGUAUAAGGUAUUACUAAAAGAUAAUUCAUUCAGUUAUUUACUAACUUACUGUUUUAUGGACUUUUUAGGUAUAAAAAAAGAACAAAACAAAAUCCCUACCCUCAAAAAGCUUACAAUUCACACAGAAGGACAAACCUGUGAACAAUUAAGUAGAAUACAGUAUGAGGCUAUUAGCACUAUGGGUGCCCUAAAGAGGGAAAGACUCAUUCUUCAUAAUACUGGUGACAGGGAAGGUCAUGGAAUAGAGAAUUACAGAUUGCUUUACCAAAGGUUAGGAUUGAAUUUUGAGAAAUUCUCACAACUGGGGGCAAGAGGAAGAAGAGGAACUGGUGAAGGAGUUAGAAAAGCAGUUUUAAGAGAGUAGAGGAAUCAUAAUUGACAUAAAAGUACCAACACAAGGAGUUUAAAAAUAGCAUCAGCAAAUAUAUCAAAAGCUAUAAAAAGUUUGAGGAUAAGGAUUGAAAGAUUAAUAAAGAGGGAAAAUAGGUUUAUUUUAUACUAAGGGGUCUCCAGAAAUGCCUUGGUCUAAUUUAGAAAUCUUUGAAGUAAGAAUCCAGGAAUCCCUCCCUAAUCUGGAACACACUCCUGGAAAAUAAUGUUGUAUUCAAAAUCCAAGCUCAGAAAAUGUAGCGUUAGAGUAGAAAGGACAAAAAUGGCACCUGGACUUUUCCUAAAUUAUUGCAGUCCUUAAGGACACCGGUCUUCGCACAAUAUACUGUAUUAAGAAAAUGGGCUAGGCAUAGUGGUUCACAGCUGUAAUCCCAGGACUUUGGGAGGCCAAGUCAGGAGGAAUGCUAGAGGCCAGGAACUCAAAGACCAGCCUGGGAAACGUAGCAAGACUCUAUCUCUGCAAAUUUUUAUUUGUUUUUAUUAUUAUUUUUUGAGAUGGAGUCUCACUCUGUCACCCAGGCUGGAAUGCAGUGGUGCGAUCUCGGCUCACUGCAACCUCCACCUCCCGGGCUCAGGUGAUUCUCCUGCCUCAGCCUCCCAAGUCACUGGGAUUACAGGCACGUGCCACCACAUACAGCUAAAUUUUUG
RNAcentral lists this long non-coding RNA (2421 nucleotides) under Homo sapiens (human). RNAcentral describes it as "HSALNT0017635". The record is from RNAcentral. Lineage: Eukaryota; Metazoa; Chordata; Mammalia; Primates; Hominidae.